This 367-nucleotide ribosomal RNA is filed under the name uncultured Bacillus sp. RNAcentral's name for it is "bacterial SSU rRNA". It matches the Rfam family "Bacterial small subunit ribosomal RNA", at positions 1022 to 1390 of the family's 1533-position model. The record is from RNAcentral. Lineage: Bacteria; Bacillati; Bacillota; Bacilli; Caryophanales; Bacillaceae.
AGAAGCAAAGUGACAGGUGGUGCAUGGUUGUCGUCAGCUCGUGUCGUGAGAUGUUGGGUUAAGUCCCGCAACGAGCGCAACCCUUGAUCUUAGUUGCCAUCAUUAAGUUGGGCACUCUAAGGUGACUGCCGGUGACAAACCGGAGGAAGGUGGGGAUGACGUCAAAUCAUCAUGCCCCUUAUGACCUGGGCUACACACGUGCUACAAUGGACGGUACAAAGAGCUGCAAGACCGCGAGGUGGAGCUAAUCUCAUAAAACCGUUCUCAGUUCGGAUUGUAGGCUGCAACUCGCCUACAUGAAGCUGGAAUCGCUAGUAAUCGCGGAUCACCAUGCCGCGGUGAAUACGUUCCCGGGUCUUGUACACAC